Non-coding RNA from Phascolarctos cinereus (koala), 395 nucleotides. Lineage: Eukaryota; Metazoa; Chordata; Mammalia; Diprotodontia; Phascolarctidae. The record is from RefSeq and is a predicted model, not a curated record.
CGACUUCGGCCGGACUCGGAGAAGGGGCGGGGUCACUUCUCCCUCACCUAGGGGGAGCCUAGAGCUGAGGUCAUCCGCUUCUGAUUGGUUCAGUGCGGCAUAUUUGGUGCUCGGGUUAUGGGAAACUGCACAUUUUUUCCCCCUGCCUUCCAGAGGCGGCAGCAGCAGGGCACGCUAAUGUUAACUAUUUCAGACUAUUUAAGUACACAACUUCAUGUUUAUCAGUCAGUCAAUAAACAUGAAAUACCUAUGAUGUGCCAGGCACUGUGCUAAGCUUUGAAGAUACCAGAGGCAAAAGACAGUUCUUGGCUCUCAAGAAGCUCCUAGUCUGAUGGGGGGAGACAACCUGUCCAGGACUUAGUGACAGUGUAGGAAGGAGAAAAAAUAAAUGGACC